CGUGAGGAACCUGCCUUCCAGACGGGGGACAACAGUUGGAAACGACUGCUAAUACCGCAUGAUGCAUUGAAGUCGCAUGGCUUUGAUGUCAAAGAUUUAUCGCUGGAAGAUGGCCUCGCGUCUGAUUAGCUAGUUGGUGAGGUAACGGCCCACCAAGGCGACGAUCAGUAGCCGGACUGAGAGGUUGGCCGGCCACAUUGGGACUGAGAUACGGCCCAGACUCCUACGGGAGGCAGCAG
Molecule: ribosomal RNA, 239 nt
Filed under: uncultured bacterium
Lineage: Bacteria
Description: partial 16S ribosomal RNA
Rfam family: Bacterial small subunit ribosomal RNA
Source: RNAcentral